GACGAACGCUGGCGGCGUGCUUGACACAUGCAAGUCGAACGGAAAGGCCCUGCUUUUGUGGGGUGCUCGAGUGGCGAACGGGUGAGUAACACGUGAGUAACCUGCCCUUGACUUUGGGAUAACUUCAGGAAACUGGGGCUAAUACCGGAUAGGAGCUCCUGCUGCAUGGUGGGGGUUGGAAAGUUUCGGCGGUUGGGGAUGGACUCGCGGCUUAUCAGCUUGUUGGUGGGGUAGUGGCUUACCAAGGCUUUGACGGGUAGCCGGCCUGAGAGGGUGACCGGCCACAUUGGGACUGAGAUACGGCCCAGACUCCUACGGGAGGCAGCAGUGGGGAAUAUUGCACAAUGGGCGGAAGCCUGAUGCAGCAACGCCGCGUGUGGGAUGACGGCCUUCGGGUUGUAAACCGCUUUCGCCUGUGACGAAGCGUGAGUGACGGUAAUGGGUAAAGAAGCACCGGCUAACUACGUG
RNAcentral lists this ribosomal RNA (468 nucleotides) under uncultured bacterium. Its description in RNAcentral is "partial 16S ribosomal RNA". It matches the Rfam family "Bacterial small subunit ribosomal RNA", at positions 28 to 507 of the family's 1533-position model. The record is from RNAcentral.